GGCAUGAAAGUUUGAUGCGGAUAGCUCAGUCAGUCGUUGGUGAUUGUGUCUGGGUAUAGGGUCGAUGGCUGGAGACCUACCUUAGGAGUAAUACUGUUUUAUUCAGGUGGCCCAUCCUAUUCCGAAUGUUAAUUUGCUCUGUUCUUCAUAUUUAGAUUUUUUUGCCGAAUUUCUAGCUCCCACGUCUCUAUUGCGGGCUCUUUGUCGCUGUUUCACUAAGCUUUGGAAGCUGAGUCUGGAAAUCUCAUUCUUUGGUCCCAGGAUCUCAGCUGGAAAGAGAAAUCCGCGCAGCGGCCUCUUAAGCUCGCGGACUGGAAGCCCUGGUCCUGAUCCUCCGCAGCCUGGAGGGAGCUCCCGCAGGGCCACAGGGAAGAGGAGGCUGAGCAGCCCAGAGGGAUGAGUGUCAGACGCCGGGCUCCCCUCGACCGGCCAGGACCCCAGCCCCAAGGAGAAGAGGACGCCUUAGGACCAGACAGAUGCAAAAAUGUUUUCUUCUGAGCAGUAGAACACUUCGGAUGAGGCUCAUGGUGGGCGUUGAGAGCGCGCUAAGAUGUCCCUCCAGGCGCUCAGGACCAUCGCUCUGAUUUUCAUAUUUUGAAAAUAUGAGAAUUUUCAGCAGUUACAAAGGACUGAAAAACACCGAAGUCUUUGAGGCAGUCAGUUUGGAGGAUGUGGGGAGGCUGGACUGAAGGGCCUGGGAUGGAAAAUUGCACAGUGAAAGAGGAGCAGGUGCAUUGAAAGUGCUAUCCCUAGAGAGAAGUGCGGGCGGGGCCAGGACGCUGCCGUCACUGCUGCUGUUCACCACCAGCUUUGCAGCGUGUGAGACCUUCAUAACAGUGUAUAGUGCAUGCAGAUCACUCGUGUUUACAAGCAACUGAUCACAAUUCCUUACAGAUUUCUUUGUUCCUUCCCCACUCCCACUGCUUCACUUGUCUAAACUUAAAGGAAAAAAUAAAACGUUUGUUUUUACA
Non-coding RNA from Callithrix jacchus (white-tufted-ear marmoset), 971 nucleotides. Lineage: Eukaryota; Metazoa; Chordata; Mammalia; Primates; Cebidae. The record is from RefSeq and is a predicted model, not a curated record.